RNAcentral lists this ribosomal RNA (502 nucleotides) under Ilyarachna sp. BOLD:ADL5631. RNAcentral describes it as "partial 16S ribosomal RNA". It matches the Rfam family "Bacterial large subunit ribosomal RNA", at positions 1808 to 2597 of the family's 2925-position model. Lineage: Eukaryota; Metazoa; Arthropoda; Malacostraca; Isopoda; Munnopsidae. The record is from RNAcentral.
CAAAAACAUCUCCUUUAGGGUAUAUUUUAAAGGUAUUCUCUGCUCAAUGAAUUUUUUAAUAGCCGCAGUAUUUUGACUGUGCUAAGGUAGCAUAGUAAUUUGUCUUAUAAUUGAGGACUGGAAUGAAAGAGUUGACGAUAUUUUAGCUUUCCUGGGAAAAUUUAUGGAAUUUGAUAUCUUCAUAAAAAAGUGAAGAUAGUUUUAGGGACGAUAAGACCCUAUAAAGCUUUAUUAAAAAUUGCAAUUUUUAAUUGGACUUAAUUUAAAGGUGUAAUUUUUAAUUGAGCUGGGGCGGCAACCAAUUUAUUCAUUGGUAAAUAUAACACUUAUAAGUGAGAGUAAAGAUCUUUUUAAGAUUUAGAAUAAGCUACUUUAGGGAUAACAGCACAAUUUUACCAGAGAGAUCUUAUUGAAGGUAAAGACUUGUGACCUCGAUGUUGAAUUGAAGGGACUUUUUCAAGCAGAAAUGAAAAAAGGGGGUCUGUUCGACCCAUAAUUCUUC